This 563-nucleotide ribosomal RNA is filed under the name Escherichia coli. Its description in RNAcentral is "partial 23S ribosomal RNA". It matches the Rfam family "Bacterial large subunit ribosomal RNA", at positions 2259 to 2821 of the family's 2925-position model. The record is from RNAcentral. Lineage: Bacteria; Pseudomonadati; Pseudomonadota; Gammaproteobacteria; Enterobacterales; Enterobacteriaceae.
UGGUGGGUAGUUUGACUGGGGCGGUCUCCUCCUAAAGAGUAACGGAGGAGCACGAAGGUUGGCUAAUCCUGGUCGGACAUCAGGAGGUUAGUGCAAUGGCAUAAGCCAGCUUGACUGCGAGCGUGACGGCGCGAGCAGGUGCGAAAGCAGGUCAUAGUGAUCCGGUGGUUCUGAAUGGAAGGGCCAUCGCUCAACGGAUAAAAGGUACUCCGGGGAUAACAGGCUGAUACCGCCCAAGAGUUCAUAUCGACGGCGGUGUUUGGCACCUCGAUGUCGGCUCAUCACAUCCUGGGGCUGAAGUAGGUCCCAAGGGUAUGGCUGUUCGCCAUUUAAAGUGGUACGCGAGCUGGGUUUAGAACGUCGUGAGACAGUUCGGUCCCUAUCUGCCGUGGGCGCUGGAGAACUGAGGGGGGCUGCUCCUAGUACGAGAGGACCGGAGUGGACGCAUCACUGGUGUUCGGGUUGUCAUGCCAAUGGCAUUGCCCGGUAGCUAAAUGCGGAAGAGAUAAGUGCUGAAAGCAUCUAAGCACGAAACUUGCCCCGAGAUGAGUUCUCCCUGACCC